CCUACGGGUGGCAGCAGUGAGGAAUAUUGGUCAAUGGACGAGAGUCUGAACCAGCCAAGUAGCGUGAAGGAUGACUGCCCUAUGUGUUGUAAACUUCUUUUAUAUGGGAAUAAAAUGUUCCACGUGUGGGAGUUUGUAUGUACCAUAUGAAUAAGGAUCGGCUAACUCCGUGCCAGCAGCCACGGUAAUACGGAGGAUCCGAGCGUUAUCCGGAUUUAUUGGGUUUAAAGGGAGCGUAGGUGGAUUGUUAAGUCAGUUGUGAAAGUUUGCGGCUCAACCGUAAAAUUGCAGUUGAAACUGGCAGUCUUGAGUACAGUAGAGGUAGGCGGAAUUCGUGGUGUAGCAGUGAAAUGCUUAGAUAUCACGAAGAACUCCGAUUGCGAAGGCAGCUCACUGGACUGCAACUGACACUGAGGCUCGAAAGUGUGGGUAUCAAACAGGAUUAGAUACCCCAGUAGUC
Molecule: ribosomal RNA, 460 nt
Filed under: uncultured bacterium
Lineage: Bacteria
Description: partial 16S ribosomal RNA
Rfam family: Bacterial small subunit ribosomal RNA
Source: RNAcentral